AUGUCUCCAGAAACCCAGGACCCAGGAGCACCACCAGGCCUCUGUGAACAGAGUUCAGAUGCAACGGAGACAAAGCCCCUGGGCGCAUCCUUGUUACUCAUGGCCGAGACCCUUGACUGCACUGCAGUUAGCCCAGCCCUCCAGGUCGGAGGACUCUACCCCUUCCAGUCUGCUGUGGACAGGAGUCAGGUCACAGAGGGCAGCUGCAGGCCACGCCUGGGAGUGUGAGGGG
Molecule: long non-coding RNA, 232 nt
Filed under: Papio anubis (olive baboon)
Lineage: Eukaryota; Metazoa; Chordata; Mammalia; Primates; Cercopithecidae
Description: lncRNA (ENSPANG00000045742.1)
Source: RNAcentral